This 446-nucleotide ribosomal RNA is filed under the name uncultured bacterium. RNAcentral's name for it is "bacterial SSU rRNA". It matches the Rfam family "Bacterial small subunit ribosomal RNA", at positions 330 to 794 of the family's 1533-position model. The record is from RNAcentral.
UCCAGACUCCUACGGGAGGCAGCAGUGGGGAAUAUUGCACAAUGGGGGGAACCCUGAUGCAGCAAUGCCGCGUGGGUGAAGAAGCACUCCGGUGCGUAAAGCCCUGUCAGCAGGGAAGAAAAUGACAGUACCUGACCAAGAAGCCCCGGCUAACUACGUGCCAGCAGCCGCGGUAAUACGUAGGGGGCAAGCGUUAUCCGGAUUUACUGGGUGUAAAGGGAGCGUAGGCGGGAAAGCAAGUUGAAUGUUUAAGGUACGGGCUCAACCUGUACAAGCGUUCAAAACUGUUUUUCUUGAGUGGAGUAGAGGUAAGCGGAAUUCCUAGUGUAGCGGUGAAAUGCGUAAAUAUUAGGAGGAACACCAGUGGCGAAGGCGGCUUACUGGGCUUUAACUGACGCUGAGGCUCGAAAGCGUGGGUAGCAAACAGGAUUAGAUACCCGAGUAGC